GACGAACGCUGGCGGCGUGCUUAACACAUGCAAGUCGAACGGUAAGGCCUUUCGGGGUACACGAGUGGCGAACGGGUGAGUAACACGUGGGUGAUCUGCCCUGCACUUCGGGAUAAGCCCGGGAAACUGGGUCUAAUACCGGAUAGGACUGCGCGGUGCAUGCCGUGUGGUGGAAAGAUUUAUCGGUGCAGGAUGGGCCCGCGGCCUAUCAGCUUGUUGGUGGGGUAAUGGCCUACCAAGGCGACGACGGGUAGCCGGCCUGAGAGGGCGACCGGCCACACUGGGACUGAGACACGGCCCAGACUCCUACGGGAGGCAGCAGUGGGGAAUAUUGCACAAUGGGCGCAAGCCUGAUGCAGCGACGCCGCGUGAGGGAUGACGGCCUUCGGGUUGCAAACCUCUUUCAGCAGGGACGAAGCGUGAGUGACGGUACCUGCAGAAGAAGCACCGGCCAACUACGUG
This 462-nucleotide ribosomal RNA is filed under the name uncultured bacterium. RNAcentral describes it as "partial 16S ribosomal RNA". It matches the Rfam family "Bacterial small subunit ribosomal RNA", at positions 28 to 507 of the family's 1533-position model. The record is from RNAcentral.